AUUGAACGCUGGCGGAAUGCUUUACACAUGCAAGUCGAACGGCAGCACGGACUUCGGUCUGGUGGUGAGUGGCGAACGGGUGAGUAAUGUAUCGGAACGUGCCCAGUCGUGGGGGAUAAGGUAGUGAAAAUUACGCUAAUACCGCAUACGAUCUAUGGACUAAAGCGGGGGAUCGCAAGACAUCGCGCGAUUGGCGCGGCCGACAUCAGAUUAGGUAGUUGGUGGGGUAAAGGCCAGACAAGGCAACGAUCUGUAGCUGGUCUGAGAGGACGGCCAGCCACACUGGAUCUGAGACACGGUCCAGACUCCGACGGGAGGCAGCAGUGGGGAAUUUUGGACAAUGGGCGAAAGCCUGAUCCAGCCAUUCCGCGUGCAGGAUGAAGGCCCUCGGGUUGUAAACUGCUUUUGUACAGAACGAAAAGGUUUCUACUAAUACUAGGAGCUCAUGACGGUACUGUAAGAAUAAGCACCGGCUAACUACGUGCCAGCCGCCGCCGUAA
Molecule: ribosomal RNA, 500 nt
Filed under: uncultured bacterium
Lineage: Bacteria
Description: partial 16S ribosomal RNA
Rfam family: Bacterial small subunit ribosomal RNA
Source: RNAcentral